This 728-nucleotide long non-coding RNA is filed under the name Oryza brachyantha (malo sina). RNAcentral describes it as "long non-coding RNA (OBRA_LNC000893)". The record is from RNAcentral. Lineage: Eukaryota; Viridiplantae; Streptophyta; Magnoliopsida; Poales; Poaceae.
GGAGGUAAUAAUAAUUGCAUAAAUUCCCUGCUUGCUAAGUCAUUGCCAUAUGAAUGCAUGCAGGUGGUCAAGCAAACAUAUUCUCGAUGUUAUUUUGAAACAAUCGACAGCACACAUCACUACAUCACCAAUUAAACUGUACGUACCAUUGUUCAGAGAGUUUACUUCAUUUAUUUACAAGAACUCAUCUUUGCCAAUCAAUCAAUCCAUCCAUCCUGUGGCCAAAACUAAACCACAAAUUGUCCAAACUAACAUAGGACGAAGAGGAUGUUGCGUCCGCAAAUUGCAAGAACUCUACAGCUUCGCUUCUGAUUUCUGAAGAUAGAAAUUGAGCAGAGAAGCUGUCAUCUAUCUACAGAGGCAUUAAUUACACAGAGUUAACCGUAACUAUCACUCGAACUCCCAGCAUGCUCUUCGGUUGUCCAACUCCAUGGCCACCAUGACAUCUUGACUUGUGUCCUUCUCCAUCGCCUUCUCGGAGUCGGAGAAGACCGCCUUCGCCGAGGACACCGCAGGAUCAGCUUCUUGGACGCCGGCCGGUCGCAAGUUCUUGGACAUGGAGGGCAGCGGGCGCAUCGGCGGCGGCGGCGGCGGCAGGGGAGCACAAUGGUCAUCACGUCGGCGACGGCAGCAGCAGCAGCUCUGGCGGCGGCGGUCGUAGAAGCACGGGUGCGAGUGGCUGCCCCCGGCGAGCUCCUGCGCGCUGUGCACUCGCCGCAUGCGCGGCG